UACGUAGGUCCCGAGCGUUGUCCGGAUUUAUUGGGCGUAAAGCGAGCGCAGGUGGUUUAUUAAGUCUGGUGUAAAAGGCAGUGGCUCAACCAUUGUAUGCAUUGGAAACUGGUAGACUUGAGUGCAGGAGAGGAGAGUGGAAUUCCAUGUGUAGCGGUGAAAUGCGUAGAUAUAUGGAGGAACACCGGUGGCGAAAGCGGCUCUCUGGCCUGUACUGACGCUCAUGCACGAAAGCGUGGGGAGCAAACAGG
RNAcentral lists this ribosomal RNA (251 nucleotides) under uncultured microorganism. RNAcentral describes it as "partial 16S ribosomal RNA". It matches the Rfam family "Bacterial small subunit ribosomal RNA", at positions 524 to 776 of the family's 1533-position model. The record is from RNAcentral.